RNAcentral lists this ribosomal RNA (646 nucleotides) under Agagus agagus. Its description in RNAcentral is "partial 12S ribosomal RNA". Lineage: Eukaryota; Metazoa; Mollusca; Gastropoda; Trochida; Trochidae. The record is from RNAcentral.
UACAAACAAGUCGAAUUAAGUUUUGGCGGUAAAAAAGGAAGUAAGAAAUUAACGCAAUUUCGGAAGUUUAGCUUUGUAUGUGGGGGUGGAAUCUGUGCAUAUAAAAUUAUAUUUAAUACUUCUUUUUGUUUGAUGCUUUGAAAAUUUAGUUGGAGACCGGGAUUAGAUACCCCGUUAUUUAUUUUUUAAAUUUUGAUUAAUAUAGUUAGUUUACCGGAGUAUUACGGGUCGCUUAAAGAUAGUCUUAGUAAUAGGACUUAGUUUAAUUGGAUACUUAGAACUCAAAAAACUUGGCGGUGCCUUAUUUCCUUCCAGGGGAACCUGUCCUGUAAUCGAUGGUCCACGAUUUAACUUGCUUUUCUUGGAAAUACUGCUAUAGCAGUAGUCAGUUUGUAUACCGUCGUCGUCAGAUUACCUUUAAGAGAUAAGAAGUUGUCACGUAAAGUAAGGAAGAUUUAAUAUGAAUUAAUCAUUCUUUUUUAGAUGUCAGAUCAAGGUGCAGCUUAUAGAAAAGUAGAGAUGGGUUACAAUAUUUAUUUAAUAUCAUGGAUACUAACUUGUAAAUGUUAGGUGAAAGUGGACUUGGGAGUAAUUUAAUUUUUAACAUAAGUAGCGAGUUUUUGUGAAUAGAGGUACUAAGGUGCGU